Molecule: ribosomal RNA, 419 nt
Filed under: bacterium
Lineage: Bacteria
Description: partial 16S ribosomal RNA
Rfam family: Bacterial small subunit ribosomal RNA
Source: RNAcentral
UGGGGGAUAUUGCACAAUGGGCGAAAGCCUGAUGCAGCGACGCCGCGUGGGGGAUGAAGGCCUUCGGGUUGUAAACUUCUUUUGCUCUGAACAAGGCAUGCUAAUGGGUGUGUUGAGUGUAGGGGUUGAUUAGCGCCGGCUAACUACGUGCCAGCAGCCGCGGUACUACGUAGGGCGCGAGCGUUGUCCGGAAUUAUUGGGCGUAAAGGGCUUGUAGGUGGCUGGUUGCGUCUGUCGUGAAAGCUCAUGGCUUAACUGUGGGUUUGCGGUGGGUACGGGCUGGCUUGAGUGAAGUAGGGGCGGCUAGAAUUCCUGGUGGAGCGGUUGAAUGCUCAAAUAUCAGGAGGCAUACCGGUGGCGAAGGCGGGCCUCUGGGCUGUUACUGACACUGAGGAGCGAAAGCAUGGGGAGCGAACAGG